UACGGAGGGUGCAAGCGUUAUCCGGAUUCACUGGGUUUAAAGGGUGCGUAGGUGGGAAUGUAAGUCAGUGGUGAAAUCUCCGUGCUUAACACGGAAACUGCCAUUGAUACUAUGUUUCUUGAAUUAUCUGGAGGUCAGCGGAAUAUGUCAUGUAGCGGUGAAAUGCUUAGAUAUGACAUAGAACACCUAUUGCGAAGGCAGCUUACUACACAGAGAUUGACGCUCAUGCACGAAAGCGUGGGGAUCAAACAGG
RNAcentral lists this ribosomal RNA (253 nucleotides) under uncultured bacterium. Its description in RNAcentral is "partial 16S ribosomal RNA". It matches the Rfam family "Bacterial small subunit ribosomal RNA", at positions 524 to 776 of the family's 1533-position model. The record is from RNAcentral.